AAGAACCUAAAGGUCUAUCCCUAACAGUCAAUGAGGUGGGAUGAAUCGGGGAACAAGGUCGAACUCCUAACAGAGACGAAAGAGAUUAUGUAAUAUCUUCCUAACUGCUUAAGCCUUUGUGCGCAGAAAUAACUGUGUUGGUGGGAGGUAGUUGGUAUCUGGUGGAAUAGUCAAAAGGUGUGCGCAAGCUAGCUCAGACACCAUACUUCUAAAAACUAGAGCCUUAGCCUUUUGAUUGAAUCGUUGGAAUAGUCAAAAGGUGUGCGCAAGCUUCCAUACUUCUAGAAACUAGAGCCUUAGCCUUUUGAUUGAAUGAUAAUACCUAUCUUGUGCUCUUUCGGUUCAUCGUCUGUGAAUCUAACAGAAAACAUUUUUUUCUACACAUUCUUCUUCAAUGAUUAUCCACUUUUUUAUGUCAACUUCCUUCUAUCUGCGAACUUCGAGUUUCGUACAGAAAAUUUUCAAUAUGCUGCUGUUAUCAAAUCUUUCGCAAACUUCUGGGGCAUAGCCAGCAAUCUACUGCAAUACUGCAGCUAGUAGUACGACAUCGCUGCAAGUAGCCAUAGUAUAAUCAGGCGCAGAAAGCACAAAAGUGCCAAGCCACGCGGGGGCUUAAGUUGCAAGUGCAAUUAAAGGGCAAG
This 641-nucleotide long non-coding RNA is filed under the name Nicotiana benthamiana. Its description in RNAcentral is "long non-coding RNA (NBEN_LNC018173)". The record is from RNAcentral. Lineage: Eukaryota; Viridiplantae; Streptophyta; Magnoliopsida; Solanales; Solanaceae.